AAUGAAAAAAAAGUUCGUGAAUCGGGUGGCCAAAUAUCCUAUUCUAUCAAGACAGACCAACUAAACCUCCCUCACCCUAUUAGAUCUUCUCGACCUAAAGAAAUAAGUUGAAUAAACAGCUAUUGCUACUUCAUUUCUUCCUCUUAACUGGUGCUUGAUCCUCGUCCUCCUCAUCCUCGUCUUCUUCCUCAUCAUCCUCAUCAUCAUCUCCGUCAUCUUCAUCUUCAUCAUCCUCCUCAUCAUCACUACCUUCAUUGCCAUUAGCCUCGGGAGCCACUUCAUCAUCAUCCUGGUCAUCAUCUCCCCCUUCUUCACUAGAUAAGUCCUCAUCAUCAUCGUCGUCGUCAUCAUCAUCAUCUUCAUCGUCAUCGUCAUCGUCAUCGUCAUCGUCAUCUUCAUCAUCAUCCUCUGUAUCACUUCCGUCN
This 425-nucleotide long non-coding RNA is filed under the name Olea europaea subsp. europaea. The record is from RNAcentral. Lineage: Eukaryota; Viridiplantae; Streptophyta; Magnoliopsida; Lamiales; Oleaceae.